Cucurbita pepo subsp. pepo (vegetable marrow) is the source of this 92-nucleotide small nucleolar RNA. RefSeq annotates it as small nucleolar RNA snoR138. The record is from RefSeq and is a predicted model, not a curated record. Lineage: Eukaryota; Viridiplantae; Streptophyta; Magnoliopsida; Cucurbitales; Cucurbitaceae.
UCAGCCUUCGAAUAACUAGAAGGUGCGAAUUAUUAUGCAACACCGUCUGGUUCAGACAAAGGCUUACAUCAAUUGAUUUGGAAUUAAUAUUA